AUGUAUGAUACACUGGUUCAUAACGAGGUUCUGAUUGAUAACAGGAAAUUAUGGAAGCUCAAAAUCCCUCUAAAAGUGAAGAUAUUUCUCUGGUUUCUGAAUAGAGGAGUGAUCUUAACUAAGAAUAAUUUGGCACGACACAACUGGCAAUGGAUGAAAAAAUGUGUCUUCUUCUAUGACGAGUCUAUUGAACACUUAUUUUUUAGUGCGAGUUUGCUCGGUCUGUGUGGGCCAUUGUUCAAAUAG
Molecule: ribosomal RNA, 246 nt
Filed under: Triticum aestivum (bread wheat)
Lineage: Eukaryota; Viridiplantae; Streptophyta; Magnoliopsida; Poales; Poaceae
Description: partial small subunit ribosomal RNA
Source: RNAcentral